UACGGGGGGGGCAAGCGUUGUUCGGAAUUACUGGGCGUAAAGGGCUCGUAGGCGGCCAACUAAGUCGGAUGUGAAAUCCCCAGGCUCAACCUGGGAACUGCAUCCGAUACUGGAUGGCUUGAAUUCGGGAGAGGGAUGCAGAAUUCCAGGUGUAGCGGUGAAAUGCGUAGAUAUCUGGAGGAAUACCGGUGGCGAAGGCGGCAUCCUGGACCGACAUUGACGCUGAGGCGCGAAAGCGUGGGGAGCAAACAGG
RNAcentral lists this ribosomal RNA (253 nucleotides) under uncultured bacterium. RNAcentral's name for it is "partial 16S ribosomal RNA". It matches the Rfam family "Bacterial small subunit ribosomal RNA", at positions 524 to 776 of the family's 1533-position model. The record is from RNAcentral.